This 2907-nucleotide ribosomal RNA is filed under the name Escherichia coli. RNAcentral describes it as "23S ribosomal RNA". It matches the Rfam family "Bacterial large subunit ribosomal RNA". Lineage: Bacteria; Pseudomonadati; Pseudomonadota; Gammaproteobacteria; Enterobacterales; Enterobacteriaceae. The record is from RNAcentral.
GGUUAAGCGACUAAGCGUACACGGUGGAUGCCCUGGCAGUCAGAGGCGAUGAAGGACGUGCUAAUCUGCGAUAAGCGUCGGUAAGGUGAUAUGAACCGUUAUAACCGGCGAUUUCCGAAUGGGGAAACCCAGUGUGUUUCGACACACUAUCAUUAACUGAAUCCAUAGGUUAAUGAGGCGAACCGGGGGAACUGAAACAUCUAAGUACCCCGAGGAAAAGAAAUCAACCGAGAUUCCCCCAGUAGCGGCGAGCGAACGGGGAGCAGCCCAGAGCCUGAAUCAGUAUGUGUGUUAGUGGAAGCGUCUGGAAAGGCGCGCGAUACAGGGUGACAGCCCCGUACACAAAAAUGCACAUAUUGUGAGCUCGAUGAGUAGGGCGGGACACGUGGUAUCCUGUCUGAAUAUGGGGGGACCAUCCUCCAAGGCUAAAUACUCCUGACUGACCGAUAGUGAACCAGUACCGUGAGGGAAAGGCGAAAAGAACCCCGGCGAGGGGAGUGAAAAAAGAACCUGAAACCGUGUACGUACAAGCAGUGGGAGCACGCUUAGGCGUGUGACUGCGUACCUUUUGUAUAAUGGGUCAGCGACUUAUAUUCUGUAGCAAGGUUAACCGAAUAGGGGAGCCGAAGGGAAACCGAGUCUUAACUGGGCGUUAAGUUGCAGGGUAUAGACCCGAAACCCGGUGAUCUAGCCAUGGGCAGGUUGAAGGUUGGGUAACACUAACUGGAGGACCGAACCGACUAAUGUUGAAAAAUUAGCGGAUGACUUGUGGCUGGGGGUGAAAGGCCAAUCAAACCGGGAGAUAGCUGGUUCUCCCCGAAAGCUAUUUAGGUAGCGCCUCGUGAAUUCAUCUCCGGGGGUAGAGCACUGUUUCGGCAAGGGGGUCAUCCCGACUUACCAACCCGAUGCAAACUGCGAAUACCGGAGAAUGUUAUCACGGGAGACACACGGCGGGUGCUAACGUCCGUCGUGAAGAGGGAAACAACCCAGACCGCCAGCUAAGGUCCCAAAGUCAUGGUUAAGUGGGAAACGAUGUGGGAAGGCCCAGACAGCCAGGAUGUUGGCUUAGAAGCAGCCAUCAUUUAAAGAAAGCGUAAUAGCUCACUGGUCGAGUCGGCCUGCGCGGAAGAUGUAACGGGGCUAAACCAUGCACCGAAGCUGCGGCAGCGACGCUGAUGCGUUGUUGGGUAGGGGAGCGUUCUGUAAGCCUGCGAAGGUGUGCUGUGAGGCAUGCUGGAGGUAUCAGAAGUGCGAAUGCUGACAUAAGUAACGAUAAAGCGGGUGAAAAGCCCGCUCGCCGGAAGACCAAGGGUUCCUGUCCAACGUUAAUCGGGGCAGGGUGAGUCGACCCCUAAGGCGAGGCCGAAAGGCGUAGUCGAUGGGAAACAGGUUAAUAUUCCUGUACUUGGUGUUACUGCGAAGGGGGGACGGAGAAGGCUAUGUUGGCCGGGCGACGGUUGUCCCGGUUUAAGCGUGUAGGCUGGUUUUCCAGGCAAAUCCGGAAAAUCAAGGCUGAGGCGUGAUGACGAGGCACUACGGUGCUGAAGCAACAAAUGCCCUGCUUCCAGGAAAAGCCUCUAAGCAUCAGGUAACAUCAAAUCGUACCCCAAACCGACACAGGUGGUCAGGUAGAGAAUACCAAGGCGCUUGAGAGAACUCGGGUGAAGGAACUAGGCAAAAUGGUGCCGUAACUUCGGGAGAAGGCACGCUGAUAUGUAGGUGAAGUCCCUCGCGGAUGGAGCUGAAAUCAGUCGAAGAUACCAGCUGGCUGCAACUGUUUAUUAAAAACACAGCACUGUGCAAACACGAAAGUGGACGUAUACGGUGUGACGCCUGCCCGGUGCCGGAAGGUUAAUUGAUGGGGUUAGCCGCAAGGCGAAGCUCUUGAUCGAAGCCCCGGUAAACGGCGGCCGUAACUAUAACGGUCCUAAGGUAGCGAAAUUCCUUGUCGGGUAAGUUCCGACCUGCACGAAUGGCGUAAUGAUGGCCAGGCUGUCUCCACCCGAGACUCAGUGAAAUUGAACUCGCUGUGAAGAUGCAGUGUACCCGCGGCAAGACGGAAAGACCCCGUGAACCUUUACUAUAGCUUGACACUGAACAUUGAGCCUUGAUGUGUAGGAUAGGUGGGAGGCUUAGAAGUGUGGACGCCAGUCUGCAUGGAGCCGACCUUGAAAUACCACCCUUUAAUGUUUGAUGUUCUAACGUUGACCCGUAAUCCGGGUUGCGGACAGUGUCUGGUGGGUAGUUUGACUGGGGCGGUCUCCUCCUAAAGAGUAACGGAGGAGCACGAAGGUUGGCUAAUCCUGGUCGGACAUCAGGAGGUUAGUGCAAUGGCAUAAGCCAGCUUGACUGCGAGCGUGACGGCGCGAGCAGGUGCGAAAGCAGGUCAUAGUGAUCCGGUGGUUCUGAAUGGAAGGGCCAUCGCUCAACGGAUAAAAGGUACUCCGGGGAUAACAGGCUGAUACCGCCCAAGAGUUCAUAUCGACGGCGGUGUUUGGCACCUCGAUGUCGGCUCAUCACAUCCUGGGGCUGAAGUAGGUCCCAAGGGUAUGGCUGUUCGCCAUUUAAAGUGGUACGCGAGCUGGGUUUAGAACGUCGUGAGACAGUUCGGUCCCUAUCUGCCGUGGGCGCUGGAGAACUGAGGGGGGCUGCUCCUAGUACGAGAGGACCGGAGUGGACGCAUCACUGGUGUUCGGGUUGUCAUGCCAAUGGCACUGCCCGGUAGCUAAAUGCGGAAGAGAUAAGUGCUGAAAGCAUCUAAGCACGAAACUUGCCCCGAGAUGAGUUCUCCCUGACUCCUUGAGAGUCCUGAAGGAACGUUGAAGACGACGACGUUGAUAGGCCGGGUGUGUAAGCGCAGCGAUGCGUUGAGCUAACCGGUACUAAUGAACCGUGAGGCUUAACCUU